GACGAACGCUGGCGGCGUGCUUAACACAUGCAAGUCGAACGGAGAAUUUUAUUUCGGUGAAAUUCUUAGUGGCGAACGGGUGAGUAACGCGUAGACAACCUACCUCUCAGAUGGGGACAACAUCGCGAAAGCGGUGCUAAUACCGAAUGAUGUAACUUUUCUGCAUGGAAGAGUUACCAAAGGCGGCCUCUAUUUAUAAGCUGUCACUGAGAGAUGGGUCUGCGUCUGAUUAGCUAGUUGGCGGGGUAAUGGCCCACCAAGGCGACGAUCAGUAGCCGGUCUGAGAGGAUGAACGGCCACAUUGGGACUGAGACACGGACCAAACUCCUACGGGAGGCAGCAGUGGGGAAUCUUCCGCAAUGGACGAAAGUCUGACGGAGCAACGCCGCGUGAGUGAAGAAGGUUUUCGGAUCGUAAAGCUCUGUUGUUUGAGACGAAUGUGCAAUUUUUGAAUAAGGAAUUGUAAUGACGGUAUUGAACGAGAAAAGCCACGGCUAACUACGUGCCAGCAGCCGCCGUAA
RNAcentral lists this ribosomal RNA (521 nucleotides) under uncultured bacterium. Its description in RNAcentral is "partial 16S ribosomal RNA". It matches the Rfam family "Bacterial small subunit ribosomal RNA", at positions 28 to 523 of the family's 1533-position model. The record is from RNAcentral.